Molecule: long non-coding RNA, 3712 nt
Filed under: Triticum aestivum (bread wheat)
Lineage: Eukaryota; Viridiplantae; Streptophyta; Magnoliopsida; Poales; Poaceae
Description: long non-coding RNA (TAES_LNC014309)
Source: RNAcentral
UUUAACUAACAUAUGGUACUGGUUGUCACAUACAUAUAGUUCAUGUGGUCUAAGCAUAAUCACGGAGACAUCAUACAUCAGGUGCACCAAAACAUUUUUCAUUCCAUUAACUAAUAGUCGCAUACAUACACUUCGUUCUGUUCUAAACAUAACCACCAAUACACCAUACAUCAAGUUCAACAAAGGACAGCUAAAAGACAGCAAGUAUGAGACAUCAGUUGUACAAAAUGAGAAGUAAAACAUUCAGUUGAUGUGGAUCGCUGGCUUCAUGGUUCAUUGUGAGUCGAGUCAUUAUGUUUGCUUCCUACAAAAGUUAAACAAGCCCACCUUAUUAGAAUGCUCAAUUAAUUUAUGAAAUUGAAUGCAGGCAGAAUUCACAUGUGCACCGUGCACACGCAAUGGCAGAAAGAAGAAUACAAUUACCUAAUCUACAAAACUAGCAUUUCUGGUCAUGAAGACCACCAAUCAACAUCCAGUAGUAGCCAUGGAUGUGGCAUAAAAGCCCUCUGUCCACGUUUUGUCUAUCCAUUUGAAAGGAAAUGCAUCGUUUACUUUGUACGAUUGCUGAUAAUAUAGUGUGUUGGGGAUAUACUCAAGUUACUGUACAUAGGUACUAGCAGCCAAUAUUCCAACACUUGUUUCCAAAAAAUAAACAAACAACUUUAUAGAUAGUGGAUAAAAUGAGCCGGAAGCUAAAUAAAUAUAAAUGUGACUCUUUCACUAGAUGUACAGUUUUCUAGUAGUUCACACUAGACAUAGCUACCUGAUAGCUAAUUAUAGAUGUGACUCUUUCUGAAUGCCCAAAAGUAUCGUCUUAGCUCCUAAAAGUUACGCGUAAGAAGAAAAGAGGCUUCAACACCAAAGUAGAUUAACCUGGUAUCCCUUCCAAGGUAGGCGGACAGAGACUAGUAUUUAGGUCUGACCUGAAUACACCAUGGUAAUUGAAACAUUAGUAUUGGACUAUAUACUCUGUUGAAUUCGUCCCAAAAUGGUAAAAUUUCAGAUUGUAUAAUCAAAGCCAUGAACAAAAUCCAUCAAAAUCAGGCAUUUACAGCAAGUAGGCUGGAACCAAUAUACUAAUAUUCCAGAUUGUACCCUAUUUUUUAGAAAGAAAUAAAUUUACACAAAAACAACAGCGAAAAACAAUCAUUUGACUAUCCUACUAUAAGUGAACGACAAUGUAACUACUACAUUGUAGUAACAUUCGCCAUACUUUGGUUAGACAAAUAGAGGACAACAUCCAUGUAAACCACCUUUCUAAGAGCAUUUCCAUGUUAUGGACCUGGAUGAUCUAUGAUCAUUUAGUUAUAUGCUCCAGGAACUAAUUAAGUUCUGCAUUUUUUUGCUGAUAUUCAGAUCUGCUAUAUUUUUAUACCUUCAUAUCCAAAACCAUCUACUUUCUUGUCUAAGUGCCCCUGACAUGGCAGAGGCAAGAAUAUAUUUGGCGCUUUUGUUUUUUGUAAAAAUGGAAAAAAUAUAGGAAUACAGUAGAGCGACUACAGAAACUUUGACAGUUCCUCAUAUCCACAACCCUUUUACUCAAGGAGAAAGGGGAACAUAAUGCAAGGAAUGCAACCGCAGCACUUGGACAGUAGUAAUUAGAAGACUGUAGGAAAGUAUAUUAGAGUUUCCUGUUUAAUGUAACCCAAUUUUCUCUUUGCUUAUUUCUUGGAUGAACAUUCAGACAUACCAGCCGUACAAUUUACUGUGGUAGUUUCAGAUUAACACCUGAGAUUAGUAUGCCAUGAUAUUAACAGCAAAUGGCCAGGAAUGACAUAUAUGCCAUAAUUUAUAUAUAUUGCCCAUGGUCUACAUAGGAGGAGGAGCAGCAGAAAUAGCUAGUGAGUAUCAAGGAACUUUAUUAAAGGAUAACCAAAUUACCUGAUAAAUUUCAUUGAAAGAGACAAGAAAUAGGCCAAAGACACAACUUUUCCUUUUAUGAAUGUACAUAUAUAAUAUCAGUAUAAUCUCAUGUUUUUGUUUGCCCUAGAAUGUAUUAUUGCUAAACAAGCAUGAUCCUCAGGGAUAAUUAUACCACAUCUGUAUAUUUGAUCCUGCAGGGACGAUUUAAUAGCCAAACAAAGCAUAAUAACCCACCUUUCACGAUUCCAGGCAUAAUUCGCAUCCCCUUGAAUAGUGGCAUUCGUGGUUAGUAUUGUUUCCACCCUUCAUUUGCUGGGCAGUGUUUUAAAUGUUCGCCUACAAGGUUUUACAUGUGGUGUCACAUUUUCCAUACAAGAAUAACUAUUAGAAAUCAAAAUCUUAAAUAAACAAGUUGAACACAAGUUGUUAUUUGUCAAGGAAGACCAAGCAUUCAUCUUCUCUCACCUUAAUAGCCAAUUCAACAAAGAAAAAUAUGGUGUUCCAUAGAGCAGAUGCUUACCAUCUCUCACCCAGUAGCAUGGUUCAGCUCAACACUAAAUUUCAUUUAUUUCAGAGAAGCGCAGAUGUAAAACAUAUCUAAAUAACAGAUUGAGGCCCCCUUUCUUUAUUGUACACUUAACUCAAUCAAGCAUGUAAGCAAGACACUAACCCAGGAAGGAAUCAAAUUGUACCGCACUAGCAGUACAUGGUCAUGAACAACACAAUUAAUUGGAUUAUGAUUACCAUAAGAAAUAUCUAGAAGUUAAAUCAUAGGGUGAAUAGGCUUUGAUGGCUGCAAUGGAAAUUUCAAAGCUUUAAAAGAGACUGUACUACACAAAACUGCUAGUUCAGAUGUCACAUGUAGGCGAAAACUCUUGCAAUACUAAAGUAAUCUACUUCAGCAAUCAACAUGCAUGAUCUAUGUUUAAGGAAAAUCCAAAAUGUGAGAAGGGAGUGUAUACAUUAAUUGCAUCCACACAUAAGGAGGGCCUCGAUACAUGCAUGGGGAGCAGAAACUCACCGAAGCGGUUGCAACAAGCACGUUAGAUGGGUAAUGACUUGAAGAUAAACGCCCACGGUGUAGCUAGUUUUCUGAAGAAAAAAAUCACAUAAGAACCAAAGCCUAAACAAAAUAUUCAGUACUUGUUCACAAACUGCAUUGGCUGGGAGCUACUAGGAAUAAACUAGGAUAUCAUAUUAGAAAAGCUUAGAGAAGCUCUGUUAAGAGAAAAAGUACAUAUUGUUCUUUAUUGUUCAGUACAUAUUGUUCUUUAGCUCUAAUAAAUAACCAUCAAAAUACGGUCUAACAACUUCAAUAAAUCUAGCAGCCAAAUUAGUUAUAGACAAAGCAUUACCUAAUAUAUAACCAUCAAACUUCAGUCUAACAACUUCAAAAAAAUCUAGCAGCCAAAUUAGUUAUAGACAAAGCAUUACGUGGACAUUGAGCUCGUCAAUUUUAUUAAAAAGAUAUGUUUGCUAGCCACCAUUUCCUGCUCUUUUAUCAUUUUAGGUAUUCACGUAAGUUUUGAAAAGUGCCAGGCUCCAAGCUACUAAAUCACAACACCAUAUACUGAAACAAAGAAAAAAGAGCGUUGACACACCACAUCUUAUGAACAAAAUUCUUCUAAAACUGAAAUUAGUUCGAGUCAUAUACCAACAAAUCUGACAUAAUGUUUUCUAAACAGAAAACAAACACAUACGGUGCACUAAAUCACAGACGAAGAAACAUAAUGUUGAAGGAUUUUUCAGAGAGUUGCCUCACCAGUCAUUGCACAGUUGCACAAACAACACACAUCUUUUGACAUCCACAUAUAAGGAGGUCGUCAGGACUUGGGGCAGAGAAACUCAC